AGUUUGAUCCUGGCUCAGGAUGAACGCUAGCUACAGGCUUAACACAUGCAAGUCGAGGGGAAACGAUAUUGGAAGCUUGCUUCCGAUAGGCGUCGACCGGGCCCGGGGGGUAUACAGGUUUCCCACCUUCCCCUCCUUUGGGAAACCCUUGGAAAAUAAACCCUACCCCCAAAACAUUUUUUAGAGGGCCUGGGAAUGAAAAAAAGUUUUUCGGGGAAAGAAGGGGAUCUUUUAAAUAACCUUGUGGCGGGGGAACGGGCCACACAAGGGGCAAAAUCGUGUGGGUUUUGGAAGGAAGUCCCCCCACAUUGGAAAUGAACCCGGGUCCAAAUUCCUUGGGGGGGCACCAGGGAGAAUUUUGGUCAAUGGGCGAGACCCUGACCCACCCAAAUUAGCGUCCAGGAUGCCGCCCCUAUGGGUUGUAAACUGCUUUUUAUAGGGGAAUAAAGUGACCCACGUGUGUUUUUUUGCAUGUCCCCUAUGAAUAAGGACCGGCUAAUUCCGUGCCAGCAGCCGCGGUAAUACGGAAGGUCCGGGCGUUAUCCGGAUUUAUUGGGUUUAAAGGGAGCGUAGGCCGGAGAUUAAGCGUGUUGUGAAAUGUAGAUGCUCAACAUCUGAACUGCAGCGCGAACUGGUUUCCUUGAGUACGCAUAAAGUGGGCGGAAUUCGUGGUGUAGCGGUGAAAUGCUUAGAUAUCACGAAGAACUCCGAUUGCGAAGGCAGCUCACUGGGGCGCAACUGACGCUGAAGCUCGAAAGCGCGGGUAUCGAACAGGAUUAGAUACCCUGGUAGUCCGCGCGGUAAACGAUGGAUGCCCGCUGUUGGGCCAACUGGUUCAGCGGCCAAGCGAAAGCAUUAAGCAUCCCACCUGGGGAGUACGCCGGCAACGGUGAAACUCAAAGGAAUUGACGGGGGCCCGCACAAGCGGAGGAACAUGUGGUUUAAUUCGAUGAUACGCGAGGAACCUUACCCGGGCUUGAAUUGCAGAGGAAGGAUUUGGAGACAAUGACGCCCUUCGGGGCCUCUGUGAAGGUGCUGCAUGGUUGUCGUCAGCUCGUGCCGUGAGGUGUCGGCUUAAGUGCCAUAACGAGCGCAACCCCUCUCCAUAGUUGCCAUCAGGUUAAGCUGGGCACUCUGUGGACACUGCCACCGUAAGGUGCGAGGAAGGUGGGGAUGACGUCAAAUCAGCACGGCCCUUACGUCCGGGGCUACACACGUGUUACAAUGGCAGGUACAGAGAGCCGGUCGUAUGCAAAUACGAUCCAAUCCUUAAAGCCUGUCUCAGUUCGGACUGGGGUCUGCAACCCGACCCCACGAAGCUGGAUUCGCUAGUAAUCGCGCAUCAGCCAUGGCGCGGUGAAUACGUUCCUGGGCCUUGCACACACCGCCCGUC
Molecule: ribosomal RNA, 1393 nt
Filed under: uncultured bacterium
Lineage: Bacteria
Description: bacterial SSU rRNA
Rfam family: Bacterial small subunit ribosomal RNA
Source: RNAcentral